AUUGAACGCUGGCGGCAUGCUUUACACAUGCAAGUCGAACGGUAACAGGCCUUCGGGUGCUGACGAGUGGCGAACGGGUGAGUAAUGCAUCGGAACGUACCCAGAGGUGGGGGAUAACGCAGCGAAAGCUGUGCUAAUACCGCAUGUGAUCUGAGGAUGAAAGCGGGGGACCGAGCAGCAAUGUUUGGCCUCGCGCCUUUGGAGCGGCCGAUGUCGGAUUAGCUAGUUGGUGGGGUAAAGGCCUACCAAGGCGACGAUCCGUAGCUGGUCUGAGAGGACGACUAGGUAGCUGGGGAGUGAGAAACGUCCGACACUCCGACGGGGAGCAGCGGUGGGGAAUUUUGGACGAGGGAGGCAAGGCGGAUCCAGCAAUGCCGGGGGAGGGAAGAAGGCGUUAGGGUGGGAAACCGAUUUUGGCAGGAGCGAAACGGUGUCCUCUAAUACCGGGCGCUAAUGACGGUACCUGCAGAAUAAGCACCGGCUAACUACGUG
Molecule: ribosomal RNA, 492 nt
Filed under: uncultured bacterium
Lineage: Bacteria
Description: partial 16S ribosomal RNA
Rfam family: Bacterial small subunit ribosomal RNA
Source: RNAcentral